RNAcentral lists this ribosomal RNA (517 nucleotides) under uncultured bacterium. RNAcentral describes it as "partial 16S ribosomal RNA". It matches the Rfam family "Bacterial small subunit ribosomal RNA", at positions 355 to 863 of the family's 1533-position model. The record is from RNAcentral.
UAGGGAAUCUUCCACAAUGGACGCAAGUCUGAUGGAGCAACGCCGCGUGAGUGAAGAAGGUCUUCGGAUCGUAAAGCUCUGUUGUUGGUGAAGAAGGAUAGAGGCAGUAACUGGUCUUUAUUUGACGGUAAUCAACCAGAAAGUCACGGCUAACUACGUGCCAGCAGCCGCGGUAAUACGUAGGUGGCAAGCGUUGUCCGGAUUUAUUGGGCGUAAAGCGAGCGCAGGCGGAGUGAUAAGUCUGAUGUGAAAGCCCACGGCUCAACCGUGGAACUGCAUCGGAAACUGUCAUUCUUGAGUGCAGAAGAGGAGAGUGGAACUCCAUGUGUAGCGGUGGAAUGCGUAGAUAUAUGGAAGAACACCAGUGGCGAAGGCGGCUCUCUGGUCUGCAACUGACGCUGAGGCUCGAAAGCAUGGGUAGCGAACAGGAUUAGAUACCCUGGUAGUCCAUGCCGUAAACGAUGAGCGCUAGGUGUUGGGGACUUUCCGGUCCUCAGUGCCGCAGCAAACGCAUUAA